Pimephales promelas (fathead minnow) is the source of this 290-nucleotide non-coding RNA. The record is from RefSeq and is a predicted model, not a curated record. Lineage: Eukaryota; Metazoa; Chordata; Actinopteri; Cypriniformes; Leuciscidae.
GCAAGAUACUGCCAGAAAAGAUCUUACUUCUUGGUGAGCUUCCAGGGAUAUUAGCAUCUCUCAAAGAGGCCCUCGAGUCCAUGAAACGAGGUUCAUUCAGCUCAAGCCCAAGAUCAUCUGAGCUGUGUCUUCCUGAAACCUCAGAAAUGAUUUCCCUCGGUGUUUCUGAUGUCCCCAAAAGAGUCUAUGGCAGACUGAACAAGUCAUGAACUUCUCUUUUUACUCAAGAUUUGGCCACUUUACUUUUUGCUAUUGUAUUUCACUUUGUUUGACUUAAAGGAUUAGUUCAC